Molecule: ribosomal RNA, 1218 nt
Filed under: Triticum aestivum (bread wheat)
Lineage: Eukaryota; Viridiplantae; Streptophyta; Magnoliopsida; Poales; Poaceae
Description: partial small subunit ribosomal RNA
Source: RNAcentral
AUGCUAGCAAGAUGGGCAACAUAUCUUGAGAGGUUUAACUAUCUCAUCGUGCAUAAAUCUGGAAUAACUAACAGAGUGGCCGAUGCUUUGAGUCGUCGUGCAUGCCUCUUGACUUCUUUUGAAGCCGAACUUCCGGCCAUGGGUCAAAUAAAGGAGUUGUAUGAGGGUGACGAAGACUUUGGCCAUGUUUGGGUAAAGCACGCAAGGGGCCAACCAUUAGGUGAUGACUAUUUGAUGCAAGAUGGAUAUCUCUUCAAAAAUGAUCGUUUGUGCAUUCCAAGAAGUUCUCUACGUGACAAGCUGGUCAGAGAGCUCCAUUCAAGUGAUCUUAGUGGCCAUGUUGGACGGGACAAGACUAUCGCUAACCUGGAAGCUCGCUACUUUUGGCCACAACUAAAGAGAGAUGCUGGAAAGUUCGUUCAACGGUGCCCCGUAUGUCAGACCUGCAGAGGCCAAGUCCAGAACACAGGGUUAUACAUGCCUUUGCCUGUUCCUGUUGCUCCAUGGGAGGACAUUUCUAUGGACUUCGUCUUGGGCUUGCCAAGAACAAGACGAGGAAGUGAUGCUGUAUUUGUGGUCGUGGAUAGAUUCUCUAAGAUGGCUCAUUUCAUCCCAUGCCGCAAGACAACGGAUGCUCAUCAUGUGGCAAACCUAUUCUUUCGAGAAGUGGUUAGACUUCAUGGAGUUCCAAGGUCCAUUGUCUCAGACCGUGAUAGCAAGUUUCUUGCUGCAUUUUGGCUCACUUUGUGGAAGCAAUUCAACACUGAAUUGAAAUUUUCUAGCACUGCUCAUCCACAAACAGAUGGACAAACGGAAGUGGUGAACAAGUUUUUGGGUAAUCUGAUCCAUUGCAUUUGUGCAGAAAGAAAGGGGCAAUGGGAUUUGGCUUUAUCUCUUGCAGAGUUCUCCUACAAUAACUCCAAGCAUAGAUCCACAGGAAGGAGCCCUUUUUCCAUUGUCUACACUAAAGUUCCAACACAUGUGGUGGACCUGGUGAAGCUGCCAUCAAGGGGAAACUCAAAAUCAUCAUUGUCCUUUGCUGAUAAUUACACCGAGUUAUUUGAAGAGAUUCGCGGCGCUUUGGAAGCACAAAAUCAGAAAUAUAAACAACUAGCUGAUUGCAAAAAGAGGCCAAAAUCAUUCCAAGUCGGUGAUAAGGUGAUGGUCUACCUCCGAAAAGAGAGGCUGCCUUUAGGUGUUAAAGGAAAAGUUAGGUAG